Molecule: ribosomal RNA, 387 nt
Filed under: Sebastes serriceps (treefish)
Lineage: Eukaryota; Metazoa; Chordata; Actinopteri; Perciformes; Sebastidae
Description: partial 12S ribosomal RNA
Rfam family: Bacterial small subunit ribosomal RNA
Source: RNAcentral
GCCUAGCCCUAAACCUUGGUAAUAUAUCACACACCCUACCCGCCUGGGAACUACGAGCACCAGCUUAAAACCCAAAGGACUUGGCGGUGCUUUAGACCCCCCUAGAGGAGCCUGUUCUAGAACCGAUAACCCCCGUUCAACCUCACCCUUCCUUGUUUAUCCCGCCUAUAUACCGCCGUCGUCAGCUUACCCUGUGAAGGCCUAAAAGUAAGCACAACUGGCACAACCCAAAACGUCAGGUCGAGGUGUAGCGCAUGGAGGGGGAAGAAAUGGGCUACAUUCCCUAUAUUAGGGAACACGAACGGCGCACUGAAACACGCGCCUGAAGGAGGAUUUAGUAGUAAGCGGAAAAUAGUGUGUUCCGCUGAAAUCGGCCCUGAAGCGCGC